GACGAACGCUGGCGGCGUGCCUAACACAUGCAAGUCGAACGAGAAAGUCCCUUCGGGGGCGAGUACAGUGGCGCACGGGUGAGUAACACGUGGAUAACCAACCCUCGGGUGGGGGAUAACAGUCCGAAAGGAUUGCUAAUCCCGCAUAAGACCACGGCAGCUGCGGCUGCUGAGGUAAAAGGCGCUUUAUUGAGUCGCCUGAGGACGGGUCCGCGUCCCAUUAGCUAGUUGGCGGGGUAAUGGCCCACCAAGGCGAUGAUGGGUAGCUGGUCUGAGAGGAUGACCAGCCACACUGGGACUGGAACACGGCCCAGACUCCUACGGGAGGCAGCAGUGAGGAAUAUUGCACAAUGGGCGAAAGCCUGAUGCAGCAACGCCGCGUGAGUGACGAAGGCCUUCGGUUGUAAGCUCUGUCGGGUGGGAAGAUGUGGUCCGGCUAACGACCGGAUUGUGACGGUACCAUCAAAGGAGCACCGGCUAACUCCGUGCCAGCAGCCG
RNAcentral lists this ribosomal RNA (498 nucleotides) under uncultured bacterium. RNAcentral describes it as "bacterial SSU rRNA". It matches the Rfam family "Bacterial small subunit ribosomal RNA", at positions 28 to 517 of the family's 1533-position model. The record is from RNAcentral.